This is a long non-coding RNA of Mya arenaria, 5591 nucleotides long. RefSeq lists it as uncharacterized. The record is from RefSeq and is a predicted model, not a curated record. The transcript has 4 exons. Lineage: Eukaryota; Metazoa; Mollusca; Bivalvia; Myida; Myidae.
AUGUAUACAUUAAACAAAUAUAGAGCACCUGAAUGAUAAUACACUUCGUUAUAAAAAUACUUAAAUAUAUCUAACAGCUCCAAAUGUAAAUGUUUGAGUUGCUAGUGUGUUAAAUCAUAUGUUGCAGUAUCACUCAGUACAAAUUGAGACGUAUGGUGUUACGCGAUUUAAAAUAGAAAGCAUUAAUGUGACAGCUAGCCGCAAAAUCUUAAAUACAUCUUGGUGAAAAACCGAGGGGAACAUAUGAUUAUUAAAAACUACGCAGAAAAUGGAAAUGUAUUGCCUAAAAGAUCGUAGUGCCUUACUUUACCAAAAUCAAUUAGCAAAACUGCCUCAGCCAAUAUCGGGUUGCAUUUAAAUAACUUUACACUAGCAAUGCACUUGCAAGAUGAAAACAAUGUGCAUAUGUACAUGCUCGUACAAAUAGGCUCAGUUACUGUUACAAACCUAGCUAACUGUAUUAAACAUUCAUCUUUCUUAGGUAAUGACAGGCACUUAUCGGUUGAAGUUUGAGGUUACUCAAAAAAUAUUUUUGGAUUUGAUUUUUGCCUGUGAAUAGAACAGUAAAACUUCUCGUCGGUAAAAUCCUUUAAAGAGUCAAAAUGUUACAGUAGUGGGGACACCAGCAGUGAAUGGCAAGGCUGAUAAAAGGGGAGGGCUGACUGAUUGAUUGGCGGACGAUGUAGCAACAAGAGCAUAUUAAUGAAAGUCUGAUAUCCUUUCGAAUACCGCUACCGUACAUCGUCGCGCUACCGUAACCGCCUAAUGCAGACCAAUUGUUCAAGGGUGCUGGGUACCGCUACUGUUUUACUGUAGGAAUACCGUAGACGACUGAAACGUACCAAAAUAGUAGGUACGUCCAGUUCCACAGCCGCAAAAUGCACAUUUUCCACAUAUUUGUGGUACGUUUUUCAUUAAAAUAAGAAGGAUUGUAAAUUUUAAAAACAGCAUUACUACGCUAUGGUACUUUGUCUUAGAAAUAGUAACUACACUACGGAAUUUCUUUCAAAUAUAGUAACCAUGCAAAAAUAAGCAACGGUAUUUCUUUUAAAAUCGUCAUUCAACAUUAUUCGGCUCUGGCUUUUGUAAAUUUGCUUUCAUAAAACAGCAUGAUUGUGUUUUUUUUUCUUGUAUCAAGAGUACACUGUGGUAUCACUGUUAAAUUUAAGAAAUGAGCAAAACUGCGCAGUGGUAUUACUGUGCGAUUUGUUUUAAGGACUGUGUGUUAACUUCGAUAAGGUAGACAUUUCAUGAUUGAAUUAAACUAAAUUCUGUCACUUAAGUGCACAUUGGUAGCGUUCUUGAAUCUGGAAGUAUGCAAAACUACGCAGCGAUAUUUCCUGUAUACACAUAAAACGUACUCAACAUAACACAACCCAUUUCAAAGGCGACGUUGCCUUUGAAGGUCAUUGAACGAUAGUUACGCUCCCUUUUACUGUUGAAAUAUUAGCAAUAACAUUCUUAUAAACCCAAGUGAGCAUCUAUUACCUGAUCGCUGUAAAGUUAUCAUAGAAACCAUAGUGACUGCAAAUAUAUCAACAGAACAUCCAUUACCAAAUAGCUGUCACAGUUGCAAUGAAAACCACUGCAAUAGAAAAUAAACCAACCGGACAAAUAUCACAAGGGCGCUAUCAAGGCUACAUUAGACCAACGUGACCUCUGUUAUGGAAGUUGUAUGGGAAAGCAGCAUGACUUAACACAACAUGCAUCCAUACAUAUAUGUUGAUAAAGUAAUGAUCAAGUGUCAUGGUCACCAUUUAAGAAUCUUUGGUGCUCCUAACAAGCCCACAAAAAGUAUUUAAAGUUUUCGUGUGCCAUGGGGUAUCUCAGGAAUUACCAGGUGUAUCUAAGUCGAAAGAAAGAAGUAGGGUUGACUCAAACAGUUGUAGCGAACUGAAGAGAAAACAUCACAGGACGAAGUCAUGUUGUAUUUGCCAACAAGUUUAAAACAUCAGUUCCCCUGCCUAUGGAAAAAAUCUACACAUUCGUGUCACGCAUUUAACACCAGAAGGAAAUAUUGGUCAAUCGCAAAAUCAGUCCACGAAAAGAGAUGGCAAAGUUAGGAUGUUCAGCAGAGGGGGUCACAUGGCAUGAAAUAUCUCGGAAGAGAAGCUUAUAUCCACUGCAUGAGAAUAAUCUAAACAUGUGUGCAACCCGAUAACAUGUUUCAAUCCUAUAAUAAACAUUUACAGUGUACAAACACAAAACGCUCGUUUGUGGACCUAUUGUGUGUGGUUUGCCGUGGACAUCUCACUUGUGAUUCAUCAUGUAUAAAGCGUCUACCCUCGGCAAUACCUUUUUUACAGUACGUAUAUAACAAACAUGCUGUAGAAUGUUAAAACGUUAUUAUAAUCACGUUAAAAACAUAAUUAUCAUUGCAUGUACUACCAAAAUGAAACAUGAACAACAUCUUUUAAAAUCAAUCAGCUGUUUAAUGUUUUAUGUUUUUGUUUUUAGGUUGCAUAACAACUUAUCGACGGGAAUAGCACACGUAUAAGGAAAUCCAAACAAACAAGCGCCAUUCCUGAACUUGACCUCUUUGACAAUGUGCAGUGCAGAGUCAGCUUGCACAAGUAUAAUUCUAAUGUUUAUAGAAUAAAACUCAAAUGAAAUGGUAUUUUAUUUAAGGGAAUGUUUUAUUUCGUAUUAUGGCAUUACCUCUAGAAAAGGCCGAAUGGAGGUCAAGUCGAAAAAGAAUAUGGCUCCAGAAACACUGAGGAACAAAAAACAACAACUCAAGUAUGUAAAACAAUUUCAAUAAUGUAUGUUUUUUUUAUAUUAUUGCAUUUUGAAACGACCCUUAAAUCGAAAUAAUAAACGGCCUCUUAAGUUCAUGAACAUGCAUACAUUAAAUUAUUUCUACUGUUUAAUGGCACAUCAUUAAUUUCAGAGUCUAGUUCAAGAAAGCUGUACGAUAGCGGUAAUCAGAAGCCGAAAAUUUCUUUUUUUCUGGCCACCAUUUUCUUUCUGACAAUAGUUUUGAUGUCAGCAUGCUUUUGAUGGCCUUGGCAACACAAUUGCACACACACGCAAUGUGCUAUGCAACGAUGUUUUUUUUUUACUUAUAUAAGACUUGACUGCACAUGUUAAUAAACAUGUGGCGGUGUUUUUAUUUCAGCUACAUAAGAUUUGAUGUCUUUACCGUAUGAAAGACCACGAACACAAUUGUUUACUGUUUCAUUAUUUAUACAGUUUUAACUAUAUUAAUUCCAUUAACAAUUUACAGUAAAUAUCCUCAAUAGUGAACAGUAAUUAACGAAUUUAUUCCCAGAUGUGAACACUUUCUAAAUAGUAUAAUCCAACAAUUUGUCACGUAUCCAAUUUACAAUUGCUAGUCCAGUGUGACACUAGUACGAUGUUAAAGACCUUUUAAACUAUUUUUAAUUGAACUCCUUUUAAUUCACUUUUUAAAAAAAAAUUGUCCUUUUAAUUCAACUCUUUUACUCUCUUUAAUUCAUUUUAAUUUAAUUCUAUAACUCGUUUUAAUUCCUUUCAAUUAAACUCUUUAACUCUUUUUAAUUCUGAUUCCUAACCGCCUGACAAAGGCCUUUUACACUAUCAUUUUACUGCCAAAACAAACAUGAAGUGCACGAGUAUUGUAGGUAGCACGAAUCAACGUGUAAAUCGUGCGACACCGCCGGAGAAAUGACACCGUUGAAAGCACCGGUAGACUAAUGGUGAUUAGGUACAAGGUCAACGGUGCAAAUGAAAUGCGGUCAACGGUGCCAAUGCAAUGCGGUCAACGGUGCAAAUGAAAUGUUUUACUUAAACGAUGUGCACAACUGUAAUAUUGUAAAAACUUAAGAUAAUACAAAUUAAAGUUUAAAAAUAUAAUAGUCUAGGGAUAGUUUUAUUAAACUUCGUACGAAGCCUUUUUUGCGUACGAACUUCGUGCGAAGUAUCUCAGGCCGUUUAGACGUUUUAUUAAGAUUUUUUCGUACAAACAAGCACCUGUUUUUCGUAGAACUACGAAAAUUUCUACGACAGCUCUGAGGGUGGCGUACGAACUUCGUAGACUCAAAAAAUGGCCGCCACCACAACAGAAAUACUCCAAAGUGGCGAUCUUUCAUUUAUUACGGCGUAUUUAAACAAAACCAACUGCCAAUUUCAAGACAGAAGACGUACGAUUCUGUGGAAUCUGCAACCCGGUUAAUCAGUGUGCGUUUCAGAGACGAUCGUUAAGGCGAUCGUUAGCUGAUUUUGGUAACUUACCACCAAAAUUACCGAUCGGCACCGUUUCAGAGACGCAACGUGCACCUGCUUUAUCGUUAAUUUUGCUCGUAAACCUACGACCGGUAAGAGGCACUCGUUAACUUAACGAUCAAGAUGGCGGAUGAAGAUUUUCUCCAUAUCAAAGUAUAUUUUUACUUUUUAACAACAUUUGAGAGUUUAAUAAUGCGUGUAGCAUGUCGCUGGUGUGGAAUUUUCCAACUAUGUCUAAAAAUAGCUGAAAACAGUACGAAAAUGUUCUAUUUCCGCCGUUCUGUCACAAAAGGAUUUUAACUGUAGAAGAUUCAUGCCAUUUGAUGCCAAGUGUACAAUAAAAACUGAAAUGAAAAUUGACAACAGAAGUGUCAUGGUCUUGGUGGAAAAUGCUGUGUUCUUCAUUGACCUCUGGUUUAAUAAUGGCUGGUGAUAGAAAACUAUCAGGAAUGCUUCAAGCUGGCAAUGGAGGGAAAUGUAAAAGACACUGAGAAAUCACAAGGUUUCAAACAUCUAGAAUAUGCUCACAGUCAGUCUUCAAGAUACUCACCUUAAUGGUUCCAGUGUGUUUUAGGAGACUUUGUCAGAACAGUACUUUAUACCAACAUACACUGGAGAUACCAGACCUAGCAGAUAACUACAUAUAUAUUGACACAGAACAUGAAAUUAAUUGCAUAUCCAAACACAACAUAAGACUUUAAACUGUUAAAUAGGCAGUGAGGCAUUUGUGUGUAACCUUCAUUAUUUGAAAUGAAAUUUCUUAUAUUUAUUUAAAUUUGACUUUGCAUUUAAAAGCCAUUACAGUAGCAUUAGAUUUUCUAAAUAUAUAUAUAUUUUUAUACAGUUUUAACUAUGAUGUAUAUCCAGUUGUACAUGUUUCCUCUAAAGAUUAAAACACUUUUGAAUUAUAUAGGAAAAUUUAAAUGAUACAUUUAUUCAGUCUUAUGUUAAUAUAAAAAACACACACUACCAUGGUUGAUCAUGUAAACCUUCAUACUAUCUUUUUAUAAAAAUUAAGUGAAUAUUUUGAUAUUUUUGAAUACAUUUAUUUUUACUUUGACUGGCUCAUGUUUAAACACAGAAUGCUACAUAAAGUGUAUACUCUAGUGUAUAACAUAACAUGAUUGAAAUAGAUAAUAGAUAAUAUUUUCAUGAAACUCUGAAUACUUAACCACUAUGGCAAUCUGCACCAGUUAUUAAGAUACUUUUUGUUGAAUAAUGUGUUUUGAUGAGACGAGCUUGUAAAAUAGCUGUAUUUCUUUUAGUCAUUUUGUGUAUUUGAAGCAUGUCUGCAAAUGUAGAUUUUAUCAUGUAUUUUGAAUGGAUCUGAAAUACUGUUUAUUUAACUGUUAUUACAACGAUUGACACAAUAAAGAUGGAUUUAUGAA